Molecule: ribosomal RNA, 497 nt
Filed under: uncultured bacterium
Lineage: Bacteria
Description: partial 16S ribosomal RNA
Rfam family: Bacterial small subunit ribosomal RNA
Source: RNAcentral
GAUGAACGCUGGCGGCGUGCCUAAUAUAUGCAAGUCGAGCGAACAGAUGAGGAGCUUGCUCCUCUGACGUUAGCGGCGGACGGGUGAGUAACACGUGGAUAACCUACCUAUAAGACUGGGAUAACUUCGGGAAACCGGAGCUAAUACCGGAUAAUAUAUUGAACCGCAUGGUUCAAUAGUGAAAGACGGUUUUGCUGUCACUUAUAGAUGGAUCCGCGCCGCAUUAGCUAGUUGGUAAGGUAACGGCUUACCAAGGCAACGAUGCGUAGCCGACCUGAGAGGGUGAUCGGCCACACUGGAACUGAGACACGGUCCAGACUCCUACGGGAGGCAGCAGUAGGGAAUCUUCCGCAAUGGGCGAAAGCCUGACGGAGCAACGCCGCGUGAGUGAUGAAGGUCUUCGGAUCGUAAAACUCUGUUAUUAGGGAAGAACAAAUGUGUAAGUAACUAUGCACGUCUUGACGGUACCUAAUCAGAAAGCCACGGCUAACUACGUG